RNAcentral lists this ribosomal RNA (490 nucleotides) under Bacillus sp. PASCdW10. Its description in RNAcentral is "bacterial SSU rRNA". It matches the Rfam family "Bacterial small subunit ribosomal RNA", at positions 294 to 775 of the family's 1533-position model. Lineage: Bacteria; Bacillati; Bacillota; Bacilli; Caryophanales; Bacillaceae. The record is from RNAcentral.
GAGAGGGUGAUCGGCCACACUGGGACUGAAACACGGCCCAGACUCCUACGGGAGGCAGCAGUAGGGAAUCUUCCACAAUGGACGAAAGUCUGAUGGAGCAACGCCGCGUGAGCGAUGAAGGCCUUCGGGUCGUAAAGCUCUGUUGUUAGGGAAAAACAAGUGCGAGAGUAACUGCUCGCACCUUGACGGUACCUAACCAGAAAGCCACGGCUAACUACGUGCCAGCAGCCGCGGGAAUACGUAGGUGGCAAGCGUUGUCCGGAAUUAUUGGGCGGAAAGCGCGCGCAGGCGGUUUCUUAAGUCUGAUGUGAAAGCCCACGGCUCAACCGNGGAGGGUCAUUGGAAACUGGGAGACUUGAGUGCAGAAGAGGAGAGUGGAAUUCCACGUGUAGCGGUGAAAUGCGUAGAGAUGUGGAGGAACACCAGUGGCGAAGGCGACUCUCUGGUCUGUAACUGACGCUGAGGCGCGAAAGCGUGGAGGAGCAAACAG